AGUGAACGCUGGCGGUAGGCCUAACACAUGCAAGUCGAACGGCAGCACAGUAAGAGCUUGCUCUUACGGGUGGCGAGUGGCGGACGGGUGAGGAAUACAUCGGAAUCUACUUUUUCGUGGGGGAUAACGUAGGGAAACUUACGCUAAUACCGCAUACGACCUACGGGUGAAAGCAGGGGAUCUUCGGACCUUGCGCGAUUGAAUGAGCCGAUGUCGGAUUAGCUAGUUGGCGGGGUAAAGGCCCACCAAGGCGACGAUCCGUAGCUGGUCUGAGAGGAUGAUCAGCCACACUGGAACUGAGACACGGUCCAGACCCCUACGGGAGGCAGCAGUGGGGAAUAUUGGACAAUGGGCGAAAGCCUGAUCCAGCCAUACCGCGUGGGUGAAGAAGGCCUUCGGGUUGUAAAGCCCUUUUGUUGGGAAAGAAAAGCAGCAGGUUAAUACCCCGCUGUUCUGACGGUACCCAAAGAAUAAGCACCGGCUAACUUCGUG
RNAcentral lists this ribosomal RNA (492 nucleotides) under uncultured bacterium. Its description in RNAcentral is "partial 16S ribosomal RNA". It matches the Rfam family "Bacterial small subunit ribosomal RNA", at positions 29 to 507 of the family's 1533-position model. The record is from RNAcentral.